This 229-nucleotide ribosomal RNA is filed under the name uncultured bacterium. Its description in RNAcentral is "partial 16S ribosomal RNA". It matches the Rfam family "Bacterial small subunit ribosomal RNA", at positions 568 to 796 of the family's 1533-position model. The record is from RNAcentral.
UCCGUAGGCGGGCUAAUAAGUCAGGGGUGAAAUCCAACAGCUUAACUGUUGAACUGCCUUUGAUACUGUUAGUCUUGAAUUAUAUGGAAGUAGAUAGAAUGUGUAGUGUAGCGGUGAAAUGCUUAGAGAUUACACAGAAUACCGAUUGCGAAGGCAGUCUACUACAUAUAUAUUGACGCCAAUGGACGAAAGCGUGGGGAGCGAACAGGAUUAGAUACCCUGGUAGUCC